GGAAAAUCAGAUCCACCUGCCCGCGGGGUGCGGGGGAGCUCGGUUUCAGCAAACGCUGCAGCAGAGGAAAAUCAGAUCCACCUGCCCGCGGGGUGCGGGGGAGCUCGGUUUCAGCAAACGCUGCAGCGGAGGAAAAUCAGAUCCACCUGCCCGCGGGGUGCGGGGGAGCUCUGUUUUAUGCCUUGAAAUGCAUCUGCGGCAUCCCAUUGUAAAACUGCCCGUGAACGCGGGCUCGCUCGCGUCAGGCGCUCGCUCCUUUAAACAGGAAGGUGCUCUAAGACAUCGCUGAGAGAAUUAAAAGUAACUACAUAGCAGGAACAGCACGAUCUCGUUUGAAGAUUUUAUUUAGAAACGCCAAAAAAGGAGAGUGGCCAAGAUGCCCGGCUGCUCACCAGCCCACAGGAUGGCUGUAUUCCCAGCAUUCCUUGCAGCGAGUGACUUGUGACCGGCCCAGCAUUCCUUGCAGUGAAUGACAUGUGACUAGGCUCCAGCCAAUGGGGUGCAAGCAGGCCGUAAUACCAGCUGCGUGGUCCCCCAGGCCGGUCCCCUCUCUGAGGGUACUAUCUGUGCCCAGGCACCUCGACACCUCCAUCCCGCCUGGCACCGCCUCCAGCAGCCUGAGCCCCAGAACCUCAGGGACAGCAGAGUCUUGGACCUUGCCUCCGUCCCCUCUGCCAGCCAGGACCACCCAUGCUUAGGGAGUGGAAAUAGACUUGCUGUGCCCAGCCAUGCUCAGAGAGGACGUCAAAACACACACGGACAAAUCAAGGAGGAAAUCAGCCGAGAGGGAUACGUGCCAGCUCUGUUGACCCCAGUAUUUGCCAGGAGAGCCCGGAGGCCCUUAGACCCUCCUCCUUUGGGAGAGUCACCGCCCAGUGGGCAUGCAGUCACAGGGAGCAGGGAGCCCAGCCAUGCUCCCCUGAAGACCCUGAGGACCAGGCCCCCCAAGGGCACCCCUGGGGUAGGUGGAAGGAGCAGAGGUGCUAAGAGCAGGAUGUGCUGACGCCACCGCCUUCUGCAGGGAAUCAGGGGCCGAGGCCCUUUGGUUGGAAGCUGCACUUGGUAGCAGCCCAGCCCUAAAAUAGCAGCAAGUUGAGUCGGGAGCCAUGUCUCCCCUUCCCCUGAAGGUCUCCUGCACGCGAUCGCCCCUGCUCCCCGGCCCCGCCCUUGGUGGGGUCACCGAAUUCUGAACUUGGGGAGAACUGUGGGGCCAGGCUUGGGGUCUGGGUCUUCGUGCAGCAGAACCAAGCCGGGGGCAGAGCCAGGGGUUGGAGUCAGGAUGACUUUGAGGACCUGAACUUGGAGCGGUCACAGGAGUCUUGAGGGGAGCUGGGAUCUUCCCGGGCAUGGAUGGGGCUCCUGUCCAGUCUCAGGAAACCUACUGCAGCCAGGACAAGUGUGGCAGGCAGACGGAAGUGUCCUCCCAGAGGUCAGACCAUCAGAGACCAGGUAGAGACCUGGCCAGCUCCAAAUGUGAUCCCGUCCCAGAGACAGCACAGAGUGAGGGCAGGUGUGUGUUCGAGGAGGGGACAGGCUGGUGAGGCUGGCCAAGUCACCAGAAUGGCUUUCUUCCAACCUUCGUUCUGCAAUGAGCAUAUCCGAGGAAGAUUCAGGUCCACAGUGUCCCAGCCAGUCCCCCUCCCAGGUAUUAGGCCAGCGUGAAGCUGGCUACCGGCAUCACCAACAUCAACCAUUCGCAUCUGCCGGAGUUAAUGGGUGUGUGAUGUUUGGAUGGCUGGAUUCGGCGACUUUUCCCACAUCACCUGCAAGGCCGCAGUCGGCCUGGGAGCUGGCUCCUGACCCCGUCCCCUCUGCACAGCAAGUCCCAGGCGGGUUUCAUCCACCCUCGCUAGAUGGUGACGGAUCAAACGUCAGGAUCUGGUUACACAGCCAGUUACCAUCGUCGCAGCCACGCAUCAGGCCCAGGCUAGAUGCCUGCCAAUGAGAGCAGAGGGGCAAAGGCACCAAGAAACACAGGGAGACAGAUGAAAAUGCAGGAGGGAAGAGAAAAAGCAAGAAGGAAAGAGAGGAGGUUGCUCUUCUUGGGAUGCAGAUCUCAAUUCUAAGGAAUUUCAAAUAUCAAAUUAACACUGCAUUUCUUUAUUUGGGAAAAUUACUAACAAUGGCCUUGCUCUCAAAUAAAUUUACACUGAAAUGGCAUGUCUAUGCAAGAACUGAGGGCUGGCCAGGGAUUCGUGGGACAGGGAAAAGCCAGCUGGCGUCCACUGCAGAAUCUAUUGCUUCUUUGUUGGUGAAAAAAGCCGCACAUUUGCUCACAGAAGUCGUCUGUCGGUGUUGUUGCUGUUGGGAGGUGUAAGAGCAGAGGAGAAACACAGGUGGGGUGUUUUCGAAAGACAUCAUCAAUGCCCUCAGCACACCACAGGAAAUGACGAAUGUCCUUGCCCUUGAACUUUGUCUCAAGCGCCGGAGCCUUCUGGGGACAUUCUUGAGCAGCACGUCACUUUUGCUUCCCUGACAGGCAGAGGCUGUCUCUGGGGGAAGUUCUCUGGGAGGCGGGGCAGCCUGUGGGGUCUAUUCGGGGGUGCAAGUGUGAGUGUGUGAAGAGAUUUAUGAUCAGACAUUGGCUCCCCCCCAGGGGCAGAGAGUGCAGAGCUGGGAGGGGCACUUCUGCCAUGGAAGCCUCUCUUUUUCCCCGAGGGGGCAGGAGGCAGAAGUGAGGAGAGCUGGAGAGUGGGAGAAGAGUCCCCUGCAGACACGCACCGCCCAUGGCCAGCUGUGUAGACAGCUCUGUACUGGAGCGGAGGCUCUCACCACUGGUCUUUGGUGGGGACAGGGUCUGCCAAAUGCUACCCAAAGGGCCUCUGGAGAAACCCUGUGAGGUGAUCAUGUUCUGAGAACCCCAGAACGUCACAGAAGCCUCUGCUCCUCCCGACCUCCCGCCGGGCUGCCCCUGAAGGCGGAGCCGCUCCACCGAGUGCCCGAGCGCCUCCUCUUUCCCGUGUCUUCUCGGGGAGGGUGUGACUCCGGCACAAGCCGGAGGAGUCCUGGUGGAACUGACCGGAUUUGGUUUUUGAAAAUGUGUAGGUGGAGAAUCCAAUGCGCCCCCUCGGGUUUUCAAAACGUGGGCAUCUUGAGUGCGGGAAAGGAAGUGCCUGCCGCUCCCCAGGGCACCCGGUGGCAUCUGCAGAGGGGGGGCAGCCGCAGCAGGCCUGCUGUGGUGACAGCAAAUAGCCAGGCGGCCAGGGAGGCUCCUGCGGUGACAGCCCUGGGUCACAGGGUCAGAAGCAGCCCACUGGGGCCGGGAUGUCUUGCGUCAGUUUGGGAACAUUUUCAGCCAUUACCACUUUAAAUACUGAUUUUGCCUAUUCUUUCUCUUCUUCCCAGAACUCCAGUUACUCACGUGUGGUGUCUUCUCAUUGUGUCUGCUGUCUCUUCCCAUCUCACUGGGGCAGUAGGGCUGCCAUAAGCCAGCACCACAGACCAGCGGCUUCACAACCCUGGCGGCUGCAAGUUCAAGAUCAACACAGGGACAGGGUUAGUCUAGUGAGGCCUCUCUUCCUGGCUUGUGGAGGGCUGCCUGCUCCCUGUGUGCACAAGGCCUUUUCUCUGUGCACACGCAUGUGCACACACACGAGCACACGCACACGCACGCACACACACACGUGCACACACACGCACACAUGCACAUACACGCACACAAUCUGGUGUCUCUUCCUCUUCUCAUAAGGACUCCAGUCCUAUCGGAUCAGGGCCCCACCCUGCUGGCUGCACUUCACCUUAAUUACCUCCCUAAUGUCUUCUCUCCAGACAGACUCACCUUGGUGGGUGGGGCUUUGUGAGGGUUUGAAUGUCCGUGUUCCCCGAAAUUCAUCUGUUGAAAUCCUCAUCCCCAAGGCAAUGGUGUUAGGAGAUGGGGCCUGUGGUAGGGAUGGGGUCCUGAAGGUGGACUGCUGAUCAUGGGAUCGGUGUCCUCAUAAAAGAGGCCCCAGAGCGCCCCUCCCCCAUCCCCCAUGUGAGGACGCAGUGACAUACCAGGGAAGCCGGUCCUUGUCCUCACCACACACGGAAUCUGCCGGUACCUUGAUCUGAGACUCCCCAGCCUUCAAAGCUGUGAGAAAUGCAUUGUUGUUUCUGAGCCCCCAGUCUAUGGCAUUUUGUUAUGGCAGCCAGAACUAAGCCAGGCUUCCGCAUGUGCAUUCUGGGAGGACGCGGUUCAGUCCCUCACACUUGCUCUCUCUAUUUUCCUCCUUAUGCUUCUGUCCUUCAUUCUGAGAAUCUUCUUCUGACCUACUUUCUAGUUAUUCAUUAUUGUUCAGUGAUAUCUAAACUAUUUUUAAACCCACUUACUGAGUUCUGAAACAUCGCUUGUAUUUCUCCCAGGCAAUCAUUUUUGUAUUGCAUUUACAAAUAGGCAUG
RNAcentral lists this long non-coding RNA (4377 nucleotides) under Pan troglodytes (chimpanzee). RNAcentral's name for it is "long non-coding RNA NONPTRT012319". Lineage: Eukaryota; Metazoa; Chordata; Mammalia; Primates; Hominidae. The record is from RNAcentral.